GCACUACUGAGGAGUUCCAUGAUAGAAUGAAACGGCCGUCCAGUGC
Molecule: non-coding RNA, 46 nt
Organism: Schistosoma margrebowiei
Lineage: Eukaryota; Metazoa; Platyhelminthes; Trematoda; Strigeidida; Schistosomatidae
Source: Rfam